GGUGCUGUCUUUGUUUUCUGGAAGUCAAAAUAUGAAAUAUUUUCUUGAUUCCAAAAUGCAUUCUACAUUUAUUUUAUUUUCAAGAUGUAGCUAGCCAUGUAUUUAUUUGGCGUGUAAAGCCAUUUUACAUUAUUCAUGUGGUUGAAGGAAUAAGUUUAGCUGUAUGUGUUGGAGCAUUCAAAUGCAAGUCUCUUUAAGUUAGUAGGUGGUGAGGACUGUAUGCUAUAUAAGACUUUAGAAGAGUUAUUUAAUUGAUAUCGGAUUAUUUAGUGCUCUUCUCACUUGGAAUCCAAUUAAAACAACAGGAAAACAUAUUGCUUCCUAGAUACUAAUUUGAAAAUAGACGAACUUUAUUUAUUUUGAAGUAUUGAUUCUUUGCCAUUUCUUGUAAGUAUCUGGCUUCCUCUGCCUCUAUUAUGCUUUUCAGUUAUAAAUAAAAUGUGCUAAUCUUGUUUUGAUAUUUAAAUCUGUUUAAUGGUUUUAUUUUCUUCCAACGGCCAAUAUGUUUUUCUAACAUUCCAAAUGGCACUUUAAUAUAUACACAACAAUGGUAUGUUGACUGACCUAGAACGUGGAUCAAUAAUGACAAUCCAAAAAAUUAACCUAGUGGGUGAAGAUACUGAUAUACUGUAUUAUAUACAAGGCCAUCUUGAUAUAGUUAAAGCAUUUAACCAAUAUGGAUUUUGCUCAAACCAGACUAAUUUUUUGAUUUUGAUGCAUGGUCAUGUUCAUGUUAUUUCAUUGGCAUUUUGUGAUCUAAAACUGAUCUUAACUGGUAUCAUGUCAAAAUAUUUAAUUGGUCCUGUUGCAUUUUUCUGCCAACACCUUGUAAAUUUCUUUCGGAUUUACAAAUUUCACAAUGUAGAUAGCAUCAGAAAUCUUCAGUGAUCUCAAUUUCAUAUGGUGAAGCACCUUUCUCCAUGCUCAUUUUUUUUCCCCUCUAAAUGAUGGUGUUCUGCAAUUGGAAUUUGGUGAAAUUUACAUAGUGCAUGAAGCUUUAGGAGGUGAAAUGCAAAGAUUUUUUUUUUUUUUUUAUAAAUAAAAAAAAA
Molecule: unclassified non-coding RNA, 1049 nt
Filed under: Hevea brasiliensis (rubber tree)
Lineage: Eukaryota; Viridiplantae; Streptophyta; Magnoliopsida; Malpighiales; Euphorbiaceae
Source: RNAcentral